ACGGAAGGCAGCAGUGGGGAAUAUUGGGCAAUGGGGGAAACCCUGACCCAGCAACGCCGCGUGAAGGAAGAAGGCCUUCGGGUUAUAAACUUCUUUUACCAGGGACGAUAAUGACGGUACCUGGAGAAAAAGCAACGGCUAACUACGUGCCAGCAGCCGCGGUAAUACGUAGGUUGCAAGCGUUGUCCGGAUUUACUGGGUGUAAAGGGCGUGUAGGCGGAGCUGCAAGUCAGAUGUGAAAUCCCGGGGCUCAACCCCGGAACUGCAUUUGAAACUGUAGCCCUUGAGUAUCGGAGAGGCAAGCGGAAUUCCUAGUGUAGCGGUGAAAUGCGUAGAUAUUAGGAGGAACACCAGUGGCGAAGGCGGCUUGCUGGACGACAACUGACGCUGAGGCGCGAAAGCGUGGGGAGCAAACAGGAUUAGAUACCCUGGUA
This 434-nucleotide ribosomal RNA is filed under the name uncultured Oscillospiraceae bacterium. Its description in RNAcentral is "partial 16S ribosomal RNA". It matches the Rfam family "Bacterial small subunit ribosomal RNA", at positions 341 to 792 of the family's 1533-position model. Lineage: Bacteria; Bacillati; Bacillota; Clostridia; Eubacteriales; Oscillospiraceae. The record is from RNAcentral.